GUAAGAAAGAAAAAGAUGUGAGAGGGGAAAAGAAAGGAAAAGUGAGAGAACCCUCCUACACUCACCAGUCUGUUAUUUCUAAAAACGACCCUCCAGGCUCUCAGGAUGGAGUGACGCAUCUCUGGCUACCUUGGAUUUACUUGUUUUCUGACACACACCACACACAGAGACACACACACAAACCGAGUGUGCCUCCAGGGAAAGGACCAACUGACAGCCAGGGAGGAAGACGGGAGGAGGUGAAGAGGAUGACUGACAGGAGAGGAAGAUGGAGAAAUCACCAUUGACAGAGAGGAGGAUGAGGGGAAAGAAGAUGGAGAGAGAAGGAAAACAGUGAAAAAAGGUCCAACGUGCUCUGACUGGUCCCACACAUCCUGGCUCAGAAGAUACACAGAUACUCACAUGGACACUCUCAUGUACUCAUGCUCCUGGGAACAUGGAAGCGUGCAACCCACACUUGAUCAUACACACACCCCUUCACGGUCAUUUGCACCCACACCUGCAUGCAUGCAUGCAAACACUCCCCCCCACACAUGGUAAUUCUCUGGUUUGUCACAGUACUUCUCCUCUCAGUUACAUGAAACAGAAAAAAGGACAGUUAAGGUGGAGGACAGAAAAAGAUGAAAGUGAAUGAAGCAAAAAGGAGGAAUGUAAAUUGACAGGAAGUGUGUUUUGGUUCCCUUUCAAAUGUAUGUCACACCAGGUUGUAAAGAGGCCGUCUCGCAGUGAAAACAGCAUGAC
Long non-coding RNA from Epinephelus fuscoguttatus (brown-marbled grouper), 741 nucleotides. RefSeq lists it as uncharacterized. The transcript has 3 exons. The record is from RefSeq and is a predicted model, not a curated record. NCBI's taxonomy places the organism in Eukaryota, Metazoa, Chordata, Actinopteri, Perciformes, Serranidae.